UACGACUACAUAUCAGGCAUAUCAAUAAGCGGAGGAAAAGAAACUAACUAGGAUUCCCUCAGUAACGGCGAGUGAAGCGGGAAGAGCUCAAAUUUGAAAUCUUCAAGGUUUUACCUUGACGAAUUGUAGUUUAAAGAAGUGUUUUCUGUUGGUGUUUUGGUAAAAGUUCUUUGGAAUAGGACAUCAUAGAGGGUGAGAAUCCCGUAUUUGACCAUUACUUCCAGCGUUGUGAUACACUUUCAAAGAGUCGGAUUGUUUGGGAAUGCAGUCCAAAAUGGGUGGUAAAUUUCAUCUAAAGCUAAAUAUUGGCGAGAGACCGAUAGCGAACAAGUACCGUGAGGGAAAGAUGAAAAGAACUUUGAAAAGAGAGUUAAACAGUACGUGAAAUUGUCAAAAGGGAAGCGUUUGACACCAGUGUUGUUUUUCUCGAAAAUCAAUUACAAAUAGUUUUGUAUUUUGAUGAGUUAUGACUUCAUCAGCUUGCUCCCUUUCUUUACUAACUUUCUUAAUGCACUUUUCGUUUAACAAGUCAACAUCAAUUUCUUUUGUUGUAAAAGAGUCAUGAGGAAGGGUGGCUUUUCAUUUCGGUAGAAAGUGUUUAUAGCCUUGUGCCUCUGCAAUCGGAGAGAUUGAGGUCUGCAGCGUAGAUCCUUCGGGGUUAGAUACGUAGAUGCUAAGUUAUAAUUAUUUCAUAAACAACUUGUUGACUAUAAGUAAUCAUGUAGCUUACUCGUUUGCGCUAUUUUACCUACGCUUAGGAUGUUGAUCUCUCACAGUCGAGC
Molecule: ribosomal RNA, 782 nt
Filed under: uncultured Neocallimastigales
Lineage: Eukaryota; Fungi; Neocallimastigomycota; Neocallimastigomycetes; Neocallimastigales
Description: partial large subunit ribosomal RNA
Rfam family: Eukaryotic large subunit ribosomal RNA
Source: RNAcentral